Rhinolophus ferrumequinum (greater horseshoe bat) is the source of this 124-nucleotide small nucleolar RNA. Lineage: Eukaryota; Metazoa; Chordata; Mammalia; Chiroptera; Rhinolophidae. The record is from Ensembl.
UUGACAACACCUUCUGUUGAUAAGACUGUGGGGUCUCAUUUGCCGUGGACAUGACCACAAAACAUUUUUCCGACUAGGUUUUCUUUCUGCUACGUUGCUAGCAUUCAUCCUAUUGGGAACAUUA